Molecule: ribosomal RNA, 205 nt
Filed under: uncultured Leptotrichia sp.
Lineage: Bacteria; Fusobacteriati; Fusobacteriota; Fusobacteriia; Fusobacteriales; Leptotrichiaceae
Description: partial 16S ribosomal RNA
Rfam family: Bacterial small subunit ribosomal RNA
Source: RNAcentral
AGGGAAACUUACUGAUAAUACUGGAUAAGUUAGUAUAUCGCAUGAUAUGCAAAUGAAAGCUACGGCACUAAAGGAGAGCUUUGCGUCCUAUUAGCUAGUUGGUAAGGUAAGAGCUUACCAAGGCGAUGAUAGGUAGCCGGCCUGAGAGGGUGACGGCCACAAGGGGACUGAGAUACGGCCCUUACUCCUACGGGAGGCAGCAGCG